AACGAACGCUGGCGGCAUGCCUAACACAUGCAAGUCGAACGAUUGCCUUCGGGUGAUAGUGGCGCACGGGUGCGUAACGCGUGGGAAUCUGCCCUUAGGUUCGGAAUAACAGCUGGAAACGGCUGCUAAUACCGGACGAUAUCGCGAGAUCAAAGAUUUAUCGCCUGAGGAUGAGCCCGCGUUGGAUUAGGUAGUUGGUGGGGUAAAGGCCUACCAAGCCGACGAUCCAUAGCUGGUCUGAGAGGAUGAUCAGCCACACUGGGACUGAGACACGGCCCAGACUCCUACGGGAGGCAGCAGUGGGGAAUAUUGGACAAUGGGCGCAAGCCUGAUCCAGCAAUGCCGUGUGAGUGAUGAAGGCCCUAGGGUUGUAAAGCUCUUUUACCCGGGAAGAUAAUGACUGUACCGGGAGAAUAAGCCCCGGCUAACUCCGU
RNAcentral lists this ribosomal RNA (434 nucleotides) under uncultured bacterium. RNAcentral's name for it is "partial 16S ribosomal RNA". It matches the Rfam family "Bacterial small subunit ribosomal RNA", at positions 29 to 506 of the family's 1533-position model. The record is from RNAcentral.